This 852-nucleotide ribosomal RNA is filed under the name Pleosporales sp. RNAcentral describes it as "partial large subunit ribosomal RNA". It matches the Rfam family "Eukaryotic large subunit ribosomal RNA", at positions 69 to 935 of the family's 3401-position model. Lineage: Eukaryota; Fungi; Ascomycota; Dothideomycetes; Pleosporales. The record is from RNAcentral.
CAGGGAUUGCCCUAGUAACGGCGAGUGAAGCGGCAACAGCUCAAAUUUGAAAUCUGGCUUCCUUUGGGGGUCCGAGUUGUAAUUUGCAGAGGGUGCUUUGGCGUCGGCAGCGGUCUAAGUUCCUUGGAACAGGACAUCACAGAGGGUGAGAAUCCCGUACGUGGUCGCCUGCCUUCGCCGUGUAAAGCCCCUUCGACGAGUCGAGUUGUUUGGGAAUGCAGCUCUAAAUGGGAGGUAAAUUUCUUCUAAAGCUAAAUACCGGCCAGAGACCGAUAGCGCACAAGUAGAGUGAUCGAAAGAUGAAAAGCACUUUGGAAAGAGAGUCAAACAGCACGUGAAAUUGUUGAAAGGGAAGCGCUUGCAGCCAGACUUGCUCGCAGUUGCUCAUCCGGGUCCGCCCGGAGCACUCUUCUGCGAGCAGGCCAGCAUCAGUUUGGGCGACCGGAUAAAGGCCUCUGUCAUGUAUCUUCCUUCGGGAUGACCUUAUAGGGGAGGCGUAAUGCGGCCAGCCCGGACUGAGGUCCGCGCAUCUGCUAGGAUGCUGGCGUAAUGGCUGUAAGCGGCCCGUCUUGAAACACGGAUCAAGGAGUCUAACAUCUAUGCGAGUGUUUGGGUGUCAAGCCCGGGCGCGUAAUGAAAGUGAACGGAGGUGGGAACCCUCUUCGGGGGGUGCACCAUCGACCGAUCCUGAUGUCUUCGGAUGGAUUUGAGUAAGAGCAUAGCUGUUGGGACCCGAAAGAUGGUGAACUAUGCUUGAAUAGGGUGAAGCCAGAGGAAACUCUGGUGGAGGCUCGCAGCGGUUCUGACGUGCAAAUCGAUCGUCAAAUUUGGGCAUAGGGGCGAAAGACUAAU